GCGGAGUCGCCGGCGGCGCCGCGGUUUGUUGACAUUGCUAGGCAACCGCCGCGGCGCUGCUAGGGCAACGCCGGACGACUGUUCCAGCCUUAAAGGCGCAGGAGCCGGUCCUGGGUCCCGCGAGGAGACCCGGGAGCUGCAGGCAGAGAAAAACAGUUCUUCACAGACCGCGGGGACAGUCAGUGAGUCUGGAGGCUGGGUUAGGAGCAAGCGCGCUCUCGAAGCGGAAAGAGAACACCAGGCCGCAGCUGUAGAUAUUUCAACUCAAGUAUUUGAGGUCUCGGUGUUUGUUGAUGGCAUCUGUGGGCAGGUUCGCUCGCAGCAGGUGCGCAAGGCAUGUACGUGGCGGUGAGGAAAAGAACAACAAAAAACUGGAUUCCAGUACCCGCUCUGUGACUUUGACCUAAUUGAACCCAGCUCACCAGGCCUGCCCUAAAGGUGCCUUUGCCCACUAAGCCACCUCACAGGCUCCGAUAAUGACGCCGUGGGGACCGGAUGAACACCAUCUGACACAAUGGUGACUGCCGCUCUCCGCUAAGAACUUGCCGGGAAUGUGGCCAUCAGCAAAUUCUGCAGCUCGAAGUUCAGACGCCUUCAGAGUCUUUUCUUUCUUCUCUUCUGUCUUCCUCAUCAGUGUGUGACGGGGUCUUUGCCAUGUCACCCCGUGUGGCACUCUUCCCUCUGCCUCCCAAGUGCUGGAGUCACAGAUGCUCACCACCAUGCCUGACAACCUGGGGAUGCUGAUCUCUGUUACCACCUAGUCCAAGAUGACAGAAUCGCUGUGUGGACCUUUGCUCUCCCUCGCUGGUCUCUUUGCCUCCACCCUGCAGUUGCCUGUACACAUAUAGCCAGCUGGUCCCAUUAAAACCCACAACCAGAC
Non-coding RNA from Peromyscus maniculatus bairdii (prairie deer mouse), 880 nucleotides. NCBI's taxonomy places the organism in Eukaryota, Metazoa, Chordata, Mammalia, Rodentia, Cricetidae. The record is from RefSeq and is a predicted model, not a curated record.